Molecule: long non-coding RNA, 2896 nt
Filed under: Lathyrus oleraceus (garden pea)
Lineage: Eukaryota; Viridiplantae; Streptophyta; Magnoliopsida; Fabales; Fabaceae
Description: Pisum sativum (pea) long non-coding RNA (PSAT_LNC031989)
Source: RNAcentral
AAAUUUUGAGUAAAUAUAUUAUAUAUCUUUCACAAUGUACAUUGCUCAUAAAUAAAUACUUCAAUGUAAAAAAUAUUUCCUCAUAUUGACCUCAAAAUGACAACAUAAUUAAUUAUCAUAUUUCUAUUCUUGAGCACGAAAACAUAAUAUUUUCUCGAUUCAUAUGAUUUUCAGAAUUGUUAGAGAAUUUGUCAACAAAAAGAUAUUCCCUAUAACACUUUUUAAUUUAUAAAGAAACGAGUUGUCACCUCUUCCAUCUGUUAUGUAUACAACUAUUAUUUUUUUAUAAUUCAUUAGUGCUGUUACUCUUUUGAGUUUUCCCCUUAUCUAUUACGAAAGGCUACAAGUUAAUAAAAAAUAUAAAGAGAUUUUAAAAAGUACAAUGAACUUUUACAAACAUGAAUACUACUAAAGCAUUUAAUUCCAAUUUUAUAAAAGGCCUCUAACAAAUCGUAAGUGCUAAAAAUUAUUUAUUAGGAGUUAACAAAGCUUGAAAGUUAUACUUAUAAAGUGGUAUAAAAAUAUUCUAUUUAUUUCAAGUAAAUGAGGAAAAAUAUGAUUCAAAUUCUCAUAUUUAUUUAUGCUCUGAGUAUUUUUCUUUCUCCAUUUCUUGUUGAAAUCAAGGGUGGUAAGUACUUUUUAACACCAUGUUCUCAUCUAUCUUAUAUAAAAUAUUAUGCCCCUUUUUACUAACAUCCACUUUUCUUGUUUGACAAUGCAGAUGUCAUUCCCUGCAUUUCUCACUUUGAUUGUCCAGCAAAGUUUCCCCUAAAAAUGAAAUGCAUCGAUGAGUUUUGUCAGUAUGUGUUAGACUAAAAAUUACAUCUAAGUGUAUAAAUUGUAUUUAAUUCAAUCAAUAUGUAUUAGUUGAAUUAAAUGAGUGCAAAAUAUUAAUUCGAGUUUAAUAUAUUUAGAGUUUAAUUGAAAUAUACUGACAAUAUAAAAGGUUUUUACACCGUCAGUUAAUAAUAGACGUUGGAUAUUAAAAUAAAUUUAACUUUUAUUUUAAAAACCUAUAAAACAAUGCAAACGGAUGAUGGUGAUGAAUUGAUAGUGUAAAACUUUUUACACCGACAAUAUAUAAUAAUUAAUCUCAUAUAUUUAUGUAUUAAUAUUUAUAAAAUAUUAAUAUUUAUAAAUUAAUAAUUUUAAGAAAUAUAAUAUUUGUAUUUUUGGAAUUUACUUUUAAAUUUGUGCUAAGUAUCUGAAACUCUUGUUAUAACGAACUUAAAAAUAUAUAUUAUUAUAUUAUGCAAGUAUUAUUUCAUUUGUUGUUCAUAUAAGAUAUCAGAAUGUUAGUGUAUGAUUAUAAUAAAUUAUUUAAUUAAAUAAAACAAAAUAAAUGAUUAUGCUGAAUAAUUAUGUAUGAUAUAUGAUAUACAUAAUUUACAUUUUUAACAUAUUUAUAAUACUUAUGAUAAUAAUGUUAAUUCUGAUCGCCUUUCGAAGCUGGCAUUACCAUAUUGAUGGCUUUCAAAAUUUUCAAUAAAAUUAAAAUAAUUAGUGAAAUCCGUUAUUAUAUUUUUAAUGCAUAAAGAAUGCAUAUGAAUAUAUUUUCAAAGUGAUAUUAUUUGACAUUACACAAAACUAUAGUAUUUGAGAUAUUCAUGUGUUUUUUUUUAAGAAAAAAGAUGAUAUUUACUUGAAUAAAGUGAUUUACAACCAGAAAAAUAAACUUAUGUAAAAUAAACUAUAGCCUAGUUUUCUCAAAAUUCCAAAUUAGUACCUUUUAUCAAUGGAAAUAAAGCCACUUUAAACUAAGUUCAAGCUUCUUGCAAACUUGGUGUUGGUUGCUUGAUCCAUUUGGUUGUCGAGAAAUGAUGUUUUCCUUAAAGGGGUCAUAAAGAUGUAUUUGAAAUUAUGUUAGUUAAGAAUUUAGUUUUCGAGAAAUGAUGUUUUCCUUAAAGGGGUCAUAAAGAUGUAUUUGAAAUUAUGUUAGUUAAGAAUUUAGUUUGGGAAUGGUUAAGUGAUCAUCUUCUUCUCUCUUUAUAUAUGGGUUGAAUACCCCUAAUAUUCAAUUUCGAUGCAAUUGAUGCUUGUAAAAAAGUCACAUGAAAAGGUAAGAUUUGAUAAAGUACAAAGCUACAAAUAUCUCAGAGAGUUAGAAAAUAAAGCAUAAUGUAUGAAUAUAUAUAUUUUACUAUUUUUAAUCAACUCUAAUCAAAUGGUUAAUAUUUAUAAACACACAAUUUUUUUAAAAGUACAUUUUAGUGGCAUGGUAAUAAAGAGGCUUCUAUUUGUUUAUAUUCAUAAUUAGAGGUUAAUGAUUGUUAUAGUUGAAUAAUAUUUGUGAUAAUGAAUACACAAGUACUGAUCUCAAACAUGAAUUAUUAAUAGUACUUGAUCAGUGUAUUUUGAUGCACAUUCUUUUAUAUAUUUACUUAUGUAUUUUCGUGUUUUAGUUUGGUUAUUUUUCCCUUUUAAUGUGUUUUUAUAAUUUAUCUUAUUUUUACAUUUAUUUGUUUUUCGCAGUUUAUUUUCAGCAUUAGCAGUCUACACGAAUAAAUUCAUAACUGGAGCUAGGAGUAUCGGAUCGAGGCGUGUUACCAGUAGUUGGAAAGCUAAGAGAAAGAGUUAUGACUUUCAUGAAGAAGUCAAAAGCUAAUUCAGACUGUAGCAUGGUUGAAAAAUCCGUUAAAGCCUUCAGCACUAGAUUUAUAUUUUGUGUUGGGUUAUUUAGUUUGGGUCUGGGUUAUGUUUUGACCAAAUUAGGUUUAUUCUACUUUUCCUAUAACCUAAGCAGCCGAAAACAGUACACGAUAUCACUAUUCACGAAAAUUUGAAAGCUUGUACGAAUUCCAUGGAGAACUAAUCCCUCUGAUUCAAUCUGCCGUAAUUCAUGUUCCAAAACUUGAGAUUAUUUUAAUGUUAAUUUUAGUUUAAUUCCUUUCAAUGA